ACUUAGGAUAAUCCCACUAAACCAGGGGCCUUCAAAGCCCAAAAUAGCAGUGCAACCCCGCUAGUUUCUGAAA
RNAcentral lists this transfer RNA (73 nucleotides) under Stenocercus sinesaccus. RNAcentral describes it as "tRNA-Trp". Lineage: Eukaryota; Metazoa; Chordata; Lepidosauria; Squamata; Tropiduridae. The record is from RNAcentral.